This 2905-nucleotide ribosomal RNA is filed under the name Escherichia coli O157:H7 str. TW14359. RNAcentral describes it as "bacterial LSU rRNA". It matches the Rfam family "Bacterial large subunit ribosomal RNA". The record is from RNAcentral. Lineage: Bacteria; Pseudomonadati; Pseudomonadota; Gammaproteobacteria; Enterobacterales; Enterobacteriaceae.
GGUUAAGCGACUAAGCGUACACGGUGGAUGCCCUGGCAGUCAGAGGCGAUGAAGGACGUGCUAAUCUGCGAUAAGCGUCGGUAAGGUGAUAUGAACCGUUAUAACCGGCGAUUUCCGAAUGGGGAAACCCAGUGUGUUUCGACACACUAUCAUUAACUGAAUCCAUAGGUUAAUGAGGCGAACCGGGGGAACUGAAACAUCUAAGUACCCCGAGGAAAAGAAAUCAACCGAGAUUCCCCCAGUAGCGGCGAGCGAACGGGGAGGAGCCCAGAGCCUGAAUCAGUGUGUGUGUUAGUGGAAGCGUCUGGAAAGGCGCGCGAUACAGGGUGACAGCCCCGUACACAAAAAUGCACAUGCUGUGAGCUCGAUGAGUAGGGCGGGACACGUGGUAUCCUGUCUGAAUAUGGGGGGACCAUCCUCCAAGGCUAAAUACUCCUGACUGACCGAUAGUGAACCAGUACCGUGAGGGAAAGGCGAAAAGAACCCCGGCGAGGGGAGUGAAAAAGAACCUGAAACCGUGUACGUACAAGCAGUGGGAGCACAGAGCAAUCUGUGUGACUGCGUACCUUUUGUAUAAUGGGUCAGCGACUUAUAUUCUGUAGCAAGGUUAACCGAAUAGGGGAGCCGAAGGGAAACCGAGUCUUAACUGGGCGUUAAGUUGCAGGGUAUAGACCCGAAACCCGGUGAUCUAGCCAUGGGCAGGUUGAAGGUUGGGUAACACUAACUGGAGGACCGAACCGACUAAUGUUGAAAAAUUAGCGGAUGACUUGUGGCUGGGGGUGAAAGGCCAAUCAAACCGGGAGAUAGCUGGUUCUCCCCGAAAGCUAUUUAGGUAGCGCCUCGUGAAUUCAUCUCCGGGGGUAGAGCACUGUUUCGGCAAGGGGGUCAUCCCGACUUACCAACCCGAUGCAAACUGCGAAUACCGGAGAAUGUUAUCACGGGAGACACACGGCGGGUGCUAACGUCCGUCGUGAAGAGGGAAACAACCCAGACCGCCAGCUAAGGUCCCAAAGUCAUGGUUAAGUGGGAAACGAUGUGGGAAGGCCCAGACAGCCAGGAUGUUGGCUUAGAAGCAGCCAUCAUUUAAAGAAAGCGUAAUAGCUCACUGGUCGAGUCGGCCUGCGCGGAAGAUGUAACGGGGCUAAACCAUGCACCGAAGCUGCGGCAGCGACACUGUGUGUUGUUGGGUAGGGGAGCGUUCUGUAAGCCUGUGAAGGUGUGCUGUGAGGCAUGCUGGAGGUAUCAGAAGUGCGAAUGCUGACAUAAGUAACGAUAAAGCGGGUGAAAAGCCCGCUCGCCGGAAGACCAAGGGUUCCUGUCCAACGUUAAUCGGGGCAGGGUGAGUCGACCCCUAAGGCGAGGCCGAAAGGCGUAGUCGAUGGGAAACAGGUUAAUAUUCCUGUACUUGGUGUUACUGCGAAGGGGGGACGGAGAAGGCUAUGUUGGCCGGGCGACGGUUGUCCCGGUUUAAGCGUGUAGGCUGGUUUUCCAGGCAAAUCCGGAAAAUCAAGGCUGAGGCGUGAUGACGAGGCACUACGGUGCUGAAGCAACAAAUGCCCUGCUUCCAGGAAAAGCCUCUAAGCAUCAGGUAACAUCAAAUCGUACCCCAAACCGACACAGGUGGUCAGGUAGAGAAUACCAAGGCGUUUGAGAGAACUCGGGUGAAGGAACUAGGCAAAAUGGUGCCGUAACUUCGGGAGAAGGCACGCUGAUAUGUAGGUGAAGUCCCUCGCGGAUGGAGCUGAAAUCAGUCGAAGAUACCAGCUGGCUGCAACUGUUUAUUAAAAACACAGCACUGUGCAAACACGAAAGUGGACGUAUACGGUGUGACGCCUGCCCGGUGCCGGAAGGUUAAUUGAUGGGGUCAGCGCAAGCGAAGCUCUUGAUCGAAGCCCCGGUAAACGGCGGCCGUAACUAUAACGGUCCUAAGGUAGCGAAAUUCCUUGUCGGGUAAGUUCCGACCUGCACGAAUGGCGUAAUGAUGGCCAGGCUGUCUCCACCCGAGACUCAGUGAAAUUGAACUCGCUGUGAAGAUGCAGUGUACCCGCGGCAAGACGGAAAGACCCCGUGAACCUUUACUAUAGCUUGACACUGAACAUUGAGCCUUGAUGUGUAGGAUAGGUGGGAGGCUUUGAAGUGUGGACGCCAGUCUGCAUGGAGCCGACCUUGAAAUACCACCCUUUAAUGUUUGAUGUUCUAACGUGGACCCGUGAUCCGGGUUGCGGACAGUGUCUGGUGGGUAGUUUGACUGGGGCGGUCUCCUCCUAAAGAGUAACGGAGGAGCACGAAGGUUGGCUAAUCCUGGUCGGACAUCAGGAGGUUAGUGCAAUGGCAUAAGCCAGCUUGACUGCGAGCGUGACGGCGCGAGCAGGUGCGAAAGCAGGUCAUAGUGAUCCGGUGGUUCUGAAUGGAAGGGCCAUCGCUCAACGGAUAAAAGGUACUCCGGGGAUAACAGGCUGAUACCGCCCAAGAGUUCAUAUCGACGGCGGUGUUUGGCACCUCGAUGUCGGCUCAUCACAUCCUGGGGCUGAAGUAGGUCCCAAGGGUAUGGCUGUUCGCCAUUUAAAGUGGUACGCGAGCUGGGUUUAGAACGUCGUGAGACAGUUCGGUCCCUAUCUGCCGUGGGCGCUGGAGAACUGAGGGGGGCUGCUCCUAGUACGAGAGGACCGGAGUGGACGCAUCACUGGUGUUCGGGUUGUCAUGCCAAUGGCACUGCCCGGUAGCUAAAUGCGGAAGAGAUAAGUGCUGAAAGCAUCUAAGCACGAAACUUGCCCCGAGAUGAGUUCUCCCUGACCCUUUAAGGGUCCUGAAGGAACGUUGAAGACGACGACGUUGAUAGGCCGGGUGUGUAAGCGCAGCGAUGCGUUGAGCUAACCGGUACUAAUGAACCGUGAGGCUUAACCUU